GUGCUGGCUUCGGCAGCACAUAUACUAAAAUUGGAAUGAUACAGAGAAGAUUAGUAUGGCCCCUGCACAAGGAUGACAUGCAAAUUCAUGAAGUGUUCCAUAUUUUU
Bos grunniens (domestic yak) is the source of this 107-nucleotide small nuclear RNA. NCBI's taxonomy places the organism in Eukaryota, Metazoa, Chordata, Mammalia, Artiodactyla, Bovidae. The record is from Ensembl.